This 739-nucleotide ribosomal RNA is filed under the name uncultured bacterium. RNAcentral describes it as "bacterial SSU rRNA". It matches the Rfam family "Bacterial small subunit ribosomal RNA", at positions 28 to 774 of the family's 1533-position model. The record is from RNAcentral.
GAUGAACGCUAGCGACAGGCCUAACACAUGCAAGUCGAGCGGCAGCACCUCGGGUGGCGAGCGGCGCACGGGUGAGUAACGCGUAUGUAACCUGCCCAUGAGUGGGGGAUAGCCCGGUGAAAACCGGAUUAAUACCCCAUGACACCAUUGUCUGACAUCAUUUAAUGGUUAAAGAUUCAUUGCUCAUGGAUGGACAUGCGUUGGAUUAGCUAGUCGGCGGGGCAACGGCCCACCGAGGCUACGAUCCAUAGGGGUUCUGAGAGGAAGGUCCCCCACAUUGGUACUGAGACACGGACCAAACUCCUACGGGAGGCAGCAGUGAGGAAUAUUGGUCAAUGGGCGGAAGCCUGAACCAGCCAAGUCGCGUGAAGGAUGAAGGUAUUAUGUAUUGUAAACUUCUUAGCUGUGGAGAAAUAAGGGGCAUGCAUGCCCUGAUGCUAGUACACAGAGAAUAAGGAUCGGCUAACUCCAUGCCAGCAGCCGCGGUAAUACGGAGGAUCCGAGCGUUAUCCGGAUUCAUUGGGUUUAAAGGGUGCGCAGGCGGUGCCUUAAGUCAGCGGUAAAAUCGUGGGGCUCAACCCCAUCCCGCCGUUGAUACUGGGGCACUUGAUUACGGUCGAGGCAGGCGGAAUUCGUCGUGUAGCGGUGAAAUGCAUAGAUAUGACGAAGAACACCGAUUGCGUAGGCAGCCUACCAGGCCGUUAAUGACGCUCAUGCACGAAAGUGCGGGGAUCGAACA